CCAGAAUGAGAUGUCUCCACACACAGAGAGCUGCAGCUGAUGCCGGCCGGUGACUUGGGACUUGGAUGCUUAACAGGAGGCUCCCCCUCUCUUGGGAGGUAGAGAGCAGUGAGGAAGGGGACUCAGCUUCCAUGCCUCCCGCCAGCCCAGAUGCGCCCGAAUCACCUCCCUCCUGAAGGGAUGUCAGCCUUGGCUUGGACACCGUGGAGACAGGGCCCUCCUUGUGCUUCAGAAGCAUCAGCGUGUCAGAAAAUCAUCUUCACGCCAAGUCUGGAAAAAAUGGCUUUCAGGUUGUGCACACAAAGGAAGGAGGGAGAGCCCCAGGUGUCGCCGAGGACCGUGCGGCUGACAGAGCCAGCAGGGCGGUGGCGUGUGAGCCGUGCUCUGGAUAUAUAAGGAUCUGACAUGCUGGCAAUGUCUGAGCUCUACGCUCACCCAUCUGUCGGCUGCUAUCAUCACCGGGUGGGAUUAGCGGAGAUCCACUCUUUCAUAUUUAAAUCUUCACAAGAGAAUGAAUCACUUUUAUAAUAAAAGAAAAA
RNAcentral lists this non-coding RNA (539 nucleotides) under Pan troglodytes (chimpanzee). Lineage: Eukaryota; Metazoa; Chordata; Mammalia; Primates; Hominidae. The record is from RNAcentral.